ACCCCUGAUUUAGGCUGCAGUCGGCUCACUCGGGAGUAAGCCCUACUGAACCCUGCUGGGCUUAAUUCUGAGCAAAGACACAUAGGAUGAGCUGUUCGCCUUCAAUGGUCCCCAUGUAAACGGUGCACUUGGACUGAAGAUCACUUUUAAGAGGCAUUUCCCAAUCACAAAAGUUAGAGGGCAAAAACUUCUGAAGCGGAGCAAAGUUUAGCAGGGUCAGCUUUUCUCCCUUGCUCUCUAUCAAAUCAAUACACCAGCGCAUGGGUGUUAGGAAAGAGGUAAAGUGAAAAACAGCCCGGUCGACUUUUUAACAGCUCGGCCCCUGUACAUCAAACAGCAGCCCACAGGCAGAAAGAAACCGAGUGAAGCUUUUCCCAGCACACAGGUGAAUCCAGGAAGCUGCCAAGAUGUGUAAUUGCUGCUUUAGUUCGUGUUCGGGUCAGGGUUCUCUCUGGGACUGUUUUGUGAAUACAGUGAAGAGUUUCCUAAGGCCCUUGAAGCAUUUGAUUUUCGGGUUCAAAGAACUGCCUGAGGGUCCUUUCGAGGCUCCCAAGCUUCCCAAGGUUGCUGAGAAGACAAAGUGAGGCGGGGCAGAACGUCUGCUGACUCCCUUCCAUGAUGGACUCGGCCUCCUCUUCUCCUCCAACGCUGGCAGAGCAUGGAUGGGUCUCCCCCCGACUGUCAAGGGGCUCUGUGAUAUUAUGUUAGCCCCAAAUUCCAAAGCAAAAUAAAGCUCAUUUUGGAUCUGAACCUUUGUGUCUGGCGGUUUCAUUUCCGAGAGAAUCACAACAGGACAUUCCGAAGGAAGGGCCCACUCG
This is a long non-coding RNA of Podarcis muralis (Common wall lizard), 818 nucleotides long. RefSeq lists it as uncharacterized. Lineage: Eukaryota; Metazoa; Chordata; Lepidosauria; Squamata; Lacertidae. The record is from RefSeq and is a predicted model, not a curated record.